This 207-nucleotide ribosomal RNA is filed under the name uncultured bacterium. Its description in RNAcentral is "partial 16S ribosomal RNA". It matches the Rfam family "Bacterial small subunit ribosomal RNA", at positions 568 to 774 of the family's 1533-position model. The record is from RNAcentral.
CACGUAGGCGGAUUGGAAAGUCGGUUGUGAAAUCCCGGAGCUCAACUCCGGAACUGCUUCCGAAACUUCCAGUCUGGAGGACGAGAGGGGAGAGUGGAACUUCUGGUGGAGCGGUGAAAUGCGUAGAUAUCAGGAGGAACACCGGUGGCGAAAGCGACUCUCUGGCUCGUUUCUGACGCUAAGGUGCGAAAGCUUGGGUAGCAAACG